RNAcentral lists this transfer RNA (73 nucleotides) under Caudoviricetes sp. RNAcentral's name for it is "tRNA-Ser". It matches the Rfam family "tRNA". Rfam says of the family: Transfer RNA (tRNA) molecules are approximately 80 nucleotides in length. Their secondary structure includes four short double-helical elements and three loops (D, anti-codon, and T loops). Further hydrogen bonds mediate the characteristic L-shaped molecular structure. tRNAs have two regions of fundamental functional importance: the anti-codon, which is responsible for specific mRNA codon recognition, and the 3' end, to which the tRNAs corresponding amino acid is attached (by aminoacyl-tRNA synthetases). tRNAs cope with the degeneracy of the genetic code in two manners: having more than one tRNA (with a specific anti-codon) for a particular amino acid; and 'wobble' base-pairing, i.e. permitting non-standard base-pairing at the 3rd anti-codon position. The record is from RNAcentral. Lineage: Duplodnaviria; Heunggongvirae; Uroviricota; Caudoviricetes.
UGGAACGUAGCUCAGCAGGAAGAAGCAGUCGCAUGAGUCGACAAGGGCGCAGGUUCGAGUCCUGCCGUUCCAA